AGUGAACGCUGGCGGUAGGCCUAACACAUGCAAGUCGAACGGCAGCACAGUAAGAGCUUGCUCUUACGGGUGGCGAGUGGCGGACGGGUGAGGAAUACAUCGGAAUCUACUUUUUCGUGGGGGAUAACGUAGGGAAACUUACGCUAAUACCGCAUACGACCUACGGGUGAAAGCAGUGGAUCUUGGGACCUUGCGCGAUUGAAUGAGCCGAUGUCGGAUUAGCUAGUUGGCGGGGUAAAGGCCCACCAAGGCGACGAUCCGUAGCUGGUCUGAGAGGAUGAUCAGCCACACUGGAACUGAGACACGGUCCAGACUCCUACGGGAGGCAGCAGUGGGGAAUAUUGGACAAUGGGCGCAAGCCUGAUCCAGCCAUGCCGCGUGGGUGAAGAAGGCCUUCGGGUUGUAAAGCCCUUUUGUUGGGAAAGAAAAGCAGCAGGUUAAUACCCCGCUGUUCUGACGGUACCCAAAGAAUAAGCACCGGCUAACUUCGUG
RNAcentral lists this ribosomal RNA (492 nucleotides) under uncultured bacterium. RNAcentral describes it as "partial 16S ribosomal RNA". It matches the Rfam family "Bacterial small subunit ribosomal RNA", at positions 29 to 507 of the family's 1533-position model. The record is from RNAcentral.